UGAACGCUGGCGGCGUGCCUAAUACAUGCAAGUCGAGCGAACAGAUGAGGAGCUUGCUCCUCUGACGUUAGCGGCGGACGGGUGAGUAACACGUGGAUAACCUACCUAUAAGACUGGGAUAACUUCGGGAAACCGGAGCUAAUACCGGAUAAUAUAUUGAACCGCAUGGUUCAAUAGUGAAAGACGGUUUUGCUGUCACUUAUAGAUGGAUCCGCGCCGCAUUAGCUAGUUGGUAAGGUAACGGCUUACCAAGGCAACGAUGCGUAGCCGACCUGAGAGGGUGAUCGGCCACACUGGCACUGAGACACGGUCCAGACUCCUACGGGAGGCAGCAGUAGGGAAUCUUCCGCAAUGGGCGAAAGCCUGACGGAGCAACGCCGCGUGAGUGAUGAAGGUCUUCGGAUCGUAAAACUCUGUUAUUAGGGAAGAACAAAUGUGUAAGUAACUAUGCACGUCUUGACGGUACCUAAUCAGAAAGCCACGGCUAACUACGUG
RNAcentral lists this ribosomal RNA (495 nucleotides) under uncultured bacterium. RNAcentral's name for it is "partial 16S ribosomal RNA". It matches the Rfam family "Bacterial small subunit ribosomal RNA", at positions 30 to 507 of the family's 1533-position model. The record is from RNAcentral.